This 369-nucleotide ribosomal RNA is filed under the name uncultured bacterium. RNAcentral describes it as "bacterial SSU rRNA". It matches the Rfam family "Bacterial small subunit ribosomal RNA", at positions 527 to 896 of the family's 1533-position model. The record is from RNAcentral.
GUAGGGUGCGAGCGUUAAUCGGAAUUACUGGGCGUAAAGCGUGCGUAGGCGGUUCGUUAAGUUCGUCGUGAAAGCCCCGGGCUCAACCUGGGAAUGGCGAUGGAAACUGGCGGGCUGGAGUAUGGCAGAGGGGGGUGGAAUUCCGCGUGUAGCAGUGAAAUGCGUAGAGAUGCGGAGGAACACCGAUGGCGAAGGCAGCCCCCUGGGCCAAUACUGACGCUCAGGCACGAAAGCGUGGGGAGCAAACAGGAUUAGAUACCCUGGUAGUCCACGCCCUAAACGAUGCUCACUAGGUGUUGGGGAAGCGAUUCCUUGGUACCGUAGCUAACGCGUGAAGUGAGCCGCCUGGGGAGUACGGCCGCAAGGUUA